Molecule: long non-coding RNA, 236 nt
Filed under: Elaeis guineensis (African oil palm)
Lineage: Eukaryota; Viridiplantae; Streptophyta; Magnoliopsida; Arecales; Arecaceae
Description: long non-coding RNA (EGUI_LNC036911)
Source: RNAcentral
UAGAUAAAGUUGACCUUCUUAUAGAUAAAUGCCUAGCCCUAGGUCUACAAUCUCCUGUGCAAUAUACACCACCUUCUAAUUAUCAGGAGAAUUAUUUUAUCUGUGCUAGUCCAACCCAUUAUGUGAGUGAAUGUCCCACGACUGCGCAGUUUUCACCUUUCAUCUAAGAACAAGUUCAAGCUAUCCAAGGUUACUUCAAGCCAGUCAAUGACCCAUUCUUAAACAUAUAUAAUCCA